RNAcentral lists this ribosomal RNA (620 nucleotides) under uncultured Arthrobacter sp. Its description in RNAcentral is "bacterial SSU rRNA". It matches the Rfam family "Bacterial small subunit ribosomal RNA", at positions 434 to 1057 of the family's 1533-position model. Lineage: Bacteria; Bacillati; Actinomycetota; Actinomycetes; Micrococcales; Micrococcaceae. The record is from RNAcentral.
CAGUAGGGAAGAAGCCGGCCCUUCGGGUUGGUGACGGUACCUGCAGAAGAAGCGCCGGCUAACUACGUGCCAGCAGCCGCGGUAAUACGUAGGGCGCAAGCGUUAUCCGGAAUUAUUGGGCGUAAAGAGCUCGUAGGCGGUUUGUCGCGUCUGCCGUGAAAGUCCGGGGCUUAACCCCGGAUCUGCGGUGGGUACGGGCAGACUAGAGUGCAGUAGGGGAGACUGGAAUUCCUGGUGUAGCGGUGAAAUGCGCAGAUAUCAGGAGGAACACCGAUGGCGAAGGCAGGUCUCUGGGCUGUAACUGACGCUGAGGAGCGAAAGCAUGGGGAGCGAACAGGAUUAGAUACCCUGGUAGUCCAUGCCGUAAACGUUGGGCACUAGGUGUGGGGGACAUUCCACGUUUUCCGCGCCGUAGCUAACGCAUUAAGUGCCCCGCCUGGGGAGUACGGCCGCAAGGCUAAAACUCAAAGGAAUUGACGGGGGCCCGCACAAGCGGCGGAGCAUGCGGAUUAAUUCGAUGCAACGCGAAGAACCUUACCAAGGCUUGACAUGAACCGGAAUGAUGCAGAGAUGUGUCAGCCACUUGUGGCCGGUUUACAGGUGGUGCAUGGUUGUCGUCA